GCGAACAGGAUUAGAUACCCUGGUAGUCCACGCCGUAAACGGUGGAUGCUGGAUGUGGGGCCCUUUCCACGGGUUCCGUGUCGGAGCUAACGCGUUAAGCAUCCCGCCUGGGGAGUACGGCCGCAAGGCUAAAACUCAAAGAAAUUGACGGGGGCCCGCACAAGCGGCGGAGCAUGCGGAUUAAUUCGAUGCAACGCGAAGAACCUUACCUGGGCUUGACAUGUUCCCGACGACGGCAGAGAUGUCGUUUCCCUUCGGGGCGGGUUCACAGGUGGUGCAUGGUCGUCGUCAGCUCGUGUCGUGAGAUGUUGGGUUAAGUCCCGCAACGAGCGCAACCCUCGCCCCGUGUUGCCAGCGCGUCAUGGCGGGAACUCACGGGGGACCGCCGGGGUUAACCCGGAGGAAGGCGGGGAUGACGUCAGAUCAUCAUGCCCCUUACGUCCAGGGCUUCACGCAUGCUACAAUGGCCGGUACAACGGGAUGCGACAUGGCGACAUGGAGCGGAUCCCUGAAAACCGGUCUCAGUUCGGAUCGCAGUCUGCAACUCGACUGCGUGAAGGCGGAGUCGCUAGUAAUCGCGAAUCAGCAACGUCGCGGUGAAUGCGUUCCCGGGCCUUGUACACACCGCCCGUCAAGUCAUGAAAGUGGGCAGCACCCGAAGCCGGUGGCCUAACCCUUGUGGGGGGAGCCGUCUAAGGUGAGGCUCGUGAUUGGGGCUAAGUCGUAACAAGGUAGCCGUACCGGAAGGUGCGGCUG
This 756-nucleotide ribosomal RNA is filed under the name human gut metagenome. RNAcentral describes it as "bacterial SSU rRNA". It matches the Rfam family "Bacterial small subunit ribosomal RNA", at positions 768 to 1520 of the family's 1533-position model. The record is from RNAcentral.